Molecule: ribosomal RNA, 254 nt
Filed under: uncultured bacterium
Lineage: Bacteria
Description: partial 16S ribosomal RNA
Rfam family: Bacterial small subunit ribosomal RNA
Source: RNAcentral
UACGUAGGGUGCGAGCGUUGUCCGGAAUUAUUGGGCGUAAAGAGCUCGUAGGCGGCUUGGUAAGUCGGAUGUGAAACCUCCAGGCUCAACCUGGAGUCGCCAUCCGAUACUGCCAUGGCUAGAGUCCGGUAGGGGCCCACGGAAUUCCUGGUGUAGCGGUGAAAUGCGCAGAUAUCAGGAGGAACACCGAUGGCGAAGGCAGUGGGCUGGGCCGGCACUGACGCUGAGGAGCGAAAGCGUGGGGAGCGAACAGG